GAGGGUAUAGCUCAGUGGCAGAGUGCCAGCCUAGCAUGUAUGAGGUCCUGGGUUCAAUCUCCAGUACCUCCA
RNAcentral lists this transfer RNA (72 nucleotides) under Camelus bactrianus (Bactrian camel). It matches the Rfam family "tRNA". From Rfam's summary of the family: Transfer RNA (tRNA) molecules are approximately 80 nucleotides in length. Their secondary structure includes four short double-helical elements and three loops (D, anti-codon, and T loops). Lineage: Eukaryota; Metazoa; Chordata; Mammalia; Artiodactyla; Camelidae. The record is from Rfam by way of RNAcentral. RNAcentral also lists the same sequence under 2 other names.